UACGAGGGGGGCUAGCGUUGUUCGGAAUUACUGGGCGUAAAGCGAACGUAGGCGGUGUUCCAUGUCAGAGGUGAAAGCCUGGGGCUCAACUCCAGAAUUGCCUUUGAAACGGGGACGCUUGAGUCCGAGAGAGGAUGGCGGAAUUCCUAGUGUAGAGGUGAAAUUCGUAGAUAUUAGGAAGAACACCGGUGGCGAAGGCGGCCAUCUGGCUCGGUACUGACGCUCAGGUUCGAAAGCGUGGGGAGCAAACAGG
RNAcentral lists this ribosomal RNA (253 nucleotides) under uncultured bacterium. RNAcentral describes it as "partial 16S ribosomal RNA". It matches the Rfam family "Bacterial small subunit ribosomal RNA", at positions 524 to 776 of the family's 1533-position model. The record is from RNAcentral.